RNAcentral lists this transfer RNA (67 nucleotides) under Cautires sp. UPOL MM0039. RNAcentral's name for it is "tRNA-Glu". Lineage: Eukaryota; Metazoa; Arthropoda; Insecta; Coleoptera; Lycidae. The record is from RNAcentral.
UAUAUAGUUUAAAUAAAAAAACAUUAUAUUUUCAUUAUAAAAUUAAAUUACCCUUUUUUUAUAAAUA